This 128-nucleotide unclassified non-coding RNA is filed under the name Aspergillus terreus. RNAcentral's name for it is "partial miscellaneous RNA". The record is from RNAcentral. Lineage: Eukaryota; Fungi; Ascomycota; Eurotiomycetes; Eurotiales; Aspergillaceae.
GCUGCCCUCAAGCCCGGCUUGUGUGUUGGGCCCUCGUCCCCCGGCUCCCGGGGGACGGGCCCGAAAGGCAGCGGCGGCACCGCGUCCGGUCCUCGAGCGUAUGGGGCUUCGUCUUCCGCUCCGUAGGC